This 84-nucleotide transfer RNA is filed under the name Sulfolobus acidocaldarius DSM 639. Its description in RNAcentral is "tRNA-Leu". It matches the Rfam family "tRNA". Rfam says of the family: Transfer RNA (tRNA) molecules are approximately 80 nucleotides in length. Their secondary structure includes four short double-helical elements and three loops (D, anti-codon, and T loops). Further hydrogen bonds mediate the characteristic L-shaped molecular structure. tRNAs have two regions of fundamental functional importance: the anti-codon, which is responsible for specific mRNA codon recognition, and the 3' end, to which the tRNAs corresponding amino acid is attached (by aminoacyl-tRNA synthetases). tRNAs cope with the degeneracy of the genetic code in two manners: having more than one tRNA (with a specific anti-codon) for a particular amino acid; and 'wobble' base-pairing, i.e. permitting non-standard base-pairing at the 3rd anti-codon position. The record is from RNAcentral. Lineage: Archaea; Thermoproteati; Thermoproteota; Thermoprotei; Sulfolobales; Sulfolobaceae.
GCGGGGGUGCCCGAGCAAGGUCAAAGGGGUCGGGCUCAGGACCCCCGAUGGUGUAGGCCUGCGUGGGUUCAAAUCCCACCCCCC